CUCGUCUUGAAGGGCAGAAGAGAGGCAUCAUUUCCCCUGAGCAGGGUUUCAUGUUUCAUUGUGGGAAAUUUCUGCUGCAGAUUCCCCGAAGGGACGGCUCCCAAGGACUCAUCACCCAUCCCAUUUACCCAGUGAUUACUACAGGAGCUCACCAUGUCUGCCACUAGAGCCCCUCUGACCCAUUUUCUUGGUACUUGGUUGGUCCUCCAUCCUGCGGCUCUCGACCUCUGUCAGAUCUUUGCUUCACUGUUUCCUUGGUUAUCUGCCUCAUUCUGGAGACUCCAUGGGAGGGGCUGGAACAGUGGCUUGUCAUUUAUGGUCCUUAAAGUACCAGACCCGGUGGCCGGGCCGAGAAAGCCCUCAAUAUGUGAUGCUGACCGGACACAUUCAUGGUACAGCAAGGGAUAAAAAGCAGAGCACGGCCUCCAGGGAUGCGAAGGUGCCACGCUGGGCGGGUUUUCAACAGGAAGCUGGGAGUGAGAUGGAAGAGUGACCACCACGAAGUGAGGACGGAGGAGCCCCAGGGCACAGUCUCAGCUGGAGGAGAGUCAGAUAUUGGCGGCGGGCCUCUGAGGAGCGGAGAGACGGGCCUGGCAAGUCUGGGUGGGCAGCUUUGGUGGCCGCAGAGGCACAGGUGUCUCGGAGCUGGCUCCACAAAUCUGCUGCUGGCGCGGCGGGUCACGUUCACAGGUGAGCGUGGUUGGAGAUGAGAAGGAUCUGACCCAGACCUUGGCUUCCCGUCCUGCCCGAUCCCAGGGCAGCAGCUGCCCAGACCUGCGACUCGGGAGAGUCAGAGCCCAGUCCCUCUCCCUGCAAACUCAGUGGUCACGGGGAGGGCACCGCCUCUGCUCUAUGCCAGGUGUCUACGUCCACUCUGGAGCUGCUGUCCCUGCCGAGGCCAGUGUGAUAGGGCGGCUGGCCAGGCGUCUUUGAUGACUUCUCUCCCAGCGAGUGGAGGGCAGCCAAGGAGUGCGAACCCCACGGAAAGCGCCUGGCAUCUGCUGGCGUCCUGAGCCUGGAGCGCGCCGGCCAUGCCUGCGGCUCUCACUCGCUGGCUGUGUCACCUCUCUGUACCCCUGUCCUUCUUUGUCACAUGGUCUGAUCUGAUUGGAUGACUGUGAGGUUUAAGUGAGCCAAUACAUGCUGGAGGUUCUUUAGAGCAGGGUUUCUUUUACUUAGAAGGACAAAAAAGUAGGAAUACUCCCUAAGAAGAGGACCUGACCUCAGUAUCUUUGGGUGCCUGAUAAGGGGAGAUGUUGAAUGACGUCAAAGACUGGUGAACCACCCCCUGCCAAGCUGCAGAGCCUUGUGUCUGUGUCUCUGUGCAUAAAUAGCUUUCCCCUCAAGCACAAAGGCUACGAGCUAAGAUGCUCGAAGGGUCAUGACUCAAGAUUGGAUGCCUUGAGGGUUCAAGUGUCUUUAUUCCUGACCAGAGUUCCUCAGCCUCGGCACUAUUGACAUUUGGGGCCAGUGACUUUUUCACAGGAGUGGGGGAGGGGGCAUCCUGUGCAUGGUACCAAGGAUCAGCAGCGUCUGGAGCUCUGCCCCGGGAGAGGCUGGUUGUGACAACCAAAGAUGUCUCCAGAUGUUGCUAAAUGUCCUCUGGGAGGGGAGAGGGGGACCAACUGCCUCCAGGGGAGAACCCCUCUGUGUGUGCCGUGAGCCCACGGUGAGUGGCCAGCUGUGCGAAGUUCCUGUACCAAGGUUGCUUUUCUGAAUCUCAGUGUGGCUGCUACUUCCGUGAGCUGUCUGGAGGGUCCAGUGACAUCCUGACAGAGGGUUUUUCAAAGUUGAUGGGCCAUAGGCUUUCCAAACCUGGCCCUGUUUGAUAAAAAUUACUGCUUCCUUAACCUGGCUGGGCAGCUGGAUCAACUGGAACUGGACUUUUAUUGUAUUUCUCUUCACUUAAACCUAAAGGGUUUUGUAGAGCAUUAAAUGCAACAUAAAUCACUCAGCCAUUUAUUAUUAAAACCUAAACUACAAUGAAAAUUAAACAGUUCAUUCUGUGGA
Long non-coding RNA from Suricata suricatta (meerkat), 2010 nucleotides. RefSeq lists it as uncharacterized. Lineage: Eukaryota; Metazoa; Chordata; Mammalia; Carnivora; Herpestidae. The record is from RefSeq and is a predicted model, not a curated record. The transcript is spliced from 5 exons.